Molecule: long non-coding RNA, 965 nt
Filed under: Physcomitrium patens
Lineage: Eukaryota; Viridiplantae; Streptophyta; Bryopsida; Funariales; Funariaceae
Description: long non-coding RNA (PPAT_LNC005337)
Source: RNAcentral
UUUUGCCACCUAUAGCUCCAAUUGAAGUACCAUCUGUAGUUCCUCCUUCAACUCUCUUGCCUUCUUUUUUCAUAAUUUAAAUAAUCCAAGAAAACCAAAUAUCUUUCAUCUCAAGCUUUUUACGUCAAGUUCACCAAAUAUGUCAUAUUACAUGAAGUCUUGCUCGAAUAUGCACCAGGCACCUAGCUAUGGAAGAUAGAAUGGAAAUUGCUACAACAAAAUCUUAACUCUAAUAGAAUAUUAAAUAAACUCUAAUAAAACCUUAACAAUAUUAAAUAAGCUUUAAUUAAAUUCAAAAGAAAAUUUAAUGAAAUUAUAAGAGAAAUAAUAAAAAAUCUUAAAAGAGUUGAAAGAAAAUCCAGAAUAAACCUAAAAAUAAUCCUUUAGAAAUCCUAAAAAGUAAUAGAAUAAUCAUAAAUACAUCUUAAAUAAAUUUCAAGAAAGUCCUAAUUUAACUCUUGUUGAAACCCUAAUGGUCUUCAAUCAAAUCCUUAGACAAAUCUUAAGCUCUAAAUCAAUUCCUAGACAAAUCUUAAGCUCUAAAUAAAAUCCUAGAAAAAUCCUAAACCUAAACCAAAUGCAUGACCAAUCCUAAAUUCUAAACCAAAUUCUAAACCAAUCCUAAAUCCUAGACCAAAUCCUAGACAAAUCUUAAAUCCUAGACCAAAUCUUAGACAAAUAAUAAAUCUUUAAUUAAACCUUAGAUAAAUCAUAAAUCCUAAAUCAAAUCCUAAAUAAAUCCUAAAUUCUAAAUCAAACCUUAGAUAAAUCCUAAAUCCUAAAUCAAAUCCUAAACAAACUCUAAAUCCUAAAUUAAAUCCUAAAUAAAUUCUAAUCAAAUUCUAAAUCCUAAAUCAAAUCCUAGAUAAAUCCUAAAUCCUAAAUUAAAUCCUAAAUAAAUACUUAAAUCUAAAUCAAAUCCUAAACAAAUCCUAAAUCAUAAAUCAAAUUUUAAUCAACUCAAU